UACGAACUGUGCGAACGUUAUUCGGAAUCACUGGGCUUACAGGGUGCGUAGGCGGCUUGUCAAGUAGGGUGUGAAAGCCCCCGGCUCAACCGGGGAAUGGCGCCCUAAACUGGCGAGCUGGAGUGAGAUAGGGGUGUGUGGAACUUCCGGUGGAGCGGUGAAAUGUGUUGAUAUCGGAAGGAACGCCGGUGGCGAAAGCGACACACUGGAUCUUGUCUGACGCUGAGGCACGAAAGCCAGGGGAGCGAACGGG
This 253-nucleotide ribosomal RNA is filed under the name Planctomycetaceae bacterium. RNAcentral's name for it is "partial 16S ribosomal RNA". It matches the Rfam family "Bacterial small subunit ribosomal RNA", at positions 524 to 776 of the family's 1533-position model. RNAcentral also lists the same sequence under 1 other name. The record is from RNAcentral. Lineage: Bacteria; Pseudomonadati; Planctomycetota; Planctomycetia; Planctomycetales; Planctomycetaceae.